UACAGAGGGUGCGAGCGUUAAUCGGAAUUACUGGGCGUAAAGCGCGCGUAGGCGGCUUUGCAAGUCGGGUGUGAAAUCCCCAGGCUUAACCUGGGAACUGCAUUCGAGACUGCAUUGCUAGAGUAUGGGAGAGGGAAGUGGAAUUUCCGGUGUAGCGGUGAAAUGCGUAGAUAUCGUAAGGAAGACCAGUGGCGAAAGCGAAUCUCUGGGCAGCAGCCGACGCUGAGGCACGAAGGCCAGGGGAGCAAACGGG
Molecule: ribosomal RNA, 253 nt
Filed under: uncultured bacterium
Lineage: Bacteria
Description: partial 16S ribosomal RNA
Rfam family: Bacterial small subunit ribosomal RNA
Source: RNAcentral